UCUGCCCCUAGAGAUGUGGCAGGUGUGGCUGCUGUGUCACACCUAUAUUAGUUGGUGGCAGAGUGGAGACAUGCUAUGGCCAUGCUCAGUGUUCUGAUCUGUGAACAUUUGAAUGAUCAGUAGCCUACCAUG
Apodemus sylvaticus (European woodmouse) is the source of this 132-nucleotide small nucleolar RNA. RefSeq annotates it as small nucleolar RNA SNORA17. The record is from RefSeq and is a predicted model, not a curated record. Lineage: Eukaryota; Metazoa; Chordata; Mammalia; Rodentia; Muridae. The transcript has a single exon.